This is a long non-coding RNA of Lolium perenne, 641 nucleotides long. RefSeq lists it as uncharacterized. Lineage: Eukaryota; Viridiplantae; Streptophyta; Magnoliopsida; Poales; Poaceae. The record is from RefSeq and is a predicted model, not a curated record.
AGUCCAGCAGGUACCCCAAACCAUCCCCGAUAGGAAAUAUAGGGGAGAUAGAGGGGGAAAACGCACUCCAGCAGCACCCCUACCGCUCCCCCGAAACAUAGGUGCCCCCAACCCAGACCCUCCCAUUCCCCUACGUAUCGGGGCAGUGGAGGCACCCCCGAUCCGCCGAGGAGAGCAACGGCUCGGUCGGGGAAGAUUCCUCCCGCCACCAAGCUCCCGAUCAGAAAUUAUUGCCCAAUUGCUGCACAGUUAUUUGAUGAAGGUUGAUUUGAUGGCGGAUCCAUGUAGUGUUGAUUUGAGCUCAAGUUCAAAGAAAGGAAAAGAGUUCAGUGUGCAUACCUUUGACGAAAUAGCUCAGCGUUCUUGUUCUUGCUGAGCUACGACUGAAGCCAUCGCAUAGAGAUCCUCGUCAUCGGACGACGACGAUUCCUCCAUGCACAUUCGCACGGCCAAGCUACGGCGACGACUCAUUUCGUUGUUGGAAAGUAUACUGGGAGAUUGAGAGAAUUAUGAGAGCAGAGGAAGAUUCAACAAUGUGUGAGAGGUGUGAGGGUUGAAUCUGUAUAUAUAUACCUGAAAAACUAGCCGUUGGAAAUAAUAUCGGUUGGAAAACUAGCCGUUGAAAAUAAUACCGUUGGAAA